This 627-nucleotide ribosomal RNA is filed under the name Amphiareus obscuriceps. RNAcentral's name for it is "eukaryotic LSU rRNA". It matches the Rfam family "Eukaryotic large subunit ribosomal RNA", at positions 677 to 1265 of the family's 3401-position model. The record is from RNAcentral. Lineage: Eukaryota; Metazoa; Arthropoda; Insecta; Hemiptera; Anthocoridae.
AGCGUGUGCGCGAGUCAUUGGGUGAAAACCUAAAGGCGAAAUGAAAGUAAAGGGUGUUUUUGCACCCGAGGGAAGAUGGUCGUAAAGCCUUUUAUUAGGCGUCGGCCCGCACUCCCGGGGCGUCUCUAUCUCGUUUCGAGUAGAGGCGCACCUAUAGCGCACACGCUGAUACCCGAAAGAUGGUGAACUAUGCCUGGCCAGGACGAAGCCAGGGGAAACCCUGGUGGAGGUCCGCAGCGAUUCUGACGUGCAAAUCGAUCGUCGGAGCUAGGUAUAGGGGCGAUAGACCAAUCGAACCAUCUAGUAGCUGGUUCCCUCUGAAGUUUCCCUCAGGAUAGCUUGCGCUCGGAGAGAAGAGUCUCAUCCGGUAGAGCGAAUGAUUAGAGGCCUUGGGGUCGAAACGACCUCAACCUAUUCUCAAACUCCAAAUAGAUGAGAUCCCCGGCUUGCUUGAAAGUGAAGCCGGGAGACUCGGAUCAGAGUGCCAAGUGGGCCAAUUUUGGUAAGCAGAACUGGCGCUGUGGGAUGAACCAAACGCAGAGUUAAGGCGCCUAAAUCGACGCUCAUGUGAAACCAUGAAAGGCGUUGGUUGCUUAAGACAGCAGGACGGUGGCCAUGGAAGUCGGA